CAGAAACUGACGUUGAGGCACGAAAGUGUGGGGAGCAAACAGGAUUAGAUACCCUGGUAGUCCACACCGUAAACGAUGGAUACUAGGUGUAGGUGGUGAUAAGCCAUCUGUGCCGUCGCAAACGCAAUAAGUAUCCCACCUGGGGAGUACGGCCGCAAGGUUGAAACUCAAAGGAAUUGACGGGGGCCCGCACAAGCAGUGGAGUAUGUGGUUUAAUUCGACGCAACGCGAAGAACCUUACCAAGGCUUGACAUAUACAGGAAUAACUUAGAGAUAGGUUAGCUCUUCGGAGCUUGUAUACAGGUGGUGCAUGGUUGUCGUCAGCUCGUGUCGUGAGAUGUUAGGUUAAGUCCUGCAACGAGCGCAACCCCUGCUUUCAGUUGCCAGCACGUAAAGGUGGGAACUCUGAAGGGACUGCCGGUAAUAAAUCGGAGGAAGGUGGGGAUGACGCCAAAUCAUCAUGCCCUUUAUGUCUUGGGCUACACACGUACUACAAUGGCCGUUACAGAGAGAAGCAACACAGUGAUGUGAAGCAAAACUUAAAAAAGCGGUCUCAGUUCGGAUUGAAGGCUGAAAUUCGCCUUCAUGAAGUCGGAAUGC
Molecule: ribosomal RNA, 600 nt
Filed under: uncultured bacterium
Lineage: Bacteria
Description: bacterial SSU rRNA
Rfam family: Bacterial small subunit ribosomal RNA
Source: RNAcentral